GGGGCCUUAGCUCAGCUGGGAGAGCGCCUGCUUUGCACGCAGGAGGUCAGCGGUUCGAUCCCGCUWRGCUCCACCA
This 76-nucleotide transfer RNA is filed under the name Micrococcus luteus. Its description in RNAcentral is "tRNA-Ala". It matches the Rfam family "tRNA". Rfam says of the family: Transfer RNA (tRNA) molecules are approximately 80 nucleotides in length. The record is from RNAcentral. Lineage: Bacteria; Bacillati; Actinomycetota; Actinomycetes; Micrococcales; Micrococcaceae.